AUGGGCCCGCGGCGCAUUAGCUUGUUGGUGGGGUAAUGGCUUACCAAGGCGACGAUGCGUAGCUGGUCUGAGAGGACGAUCAGCCACACUGGGAGUGAGACACGGCCCAGNCUCCUACGGGAGGCAGCAGUGGGGAAUCUUGCACAAUGCGCGAAAGCGUGAUGCAGCAACGCCGCGUGCGGGAAGAAGGCCUUAGGGUUGUAAACCGCUUUCAGUUGGGACGAAGCUUUGAUCGUUAAUAGCGGUUUGGAGUGACGGUACCUUCAGAAGAAGCGCCGGCUAACUACGUGCCAGCAGCCGCGGUAAUACGUAGGGCGCGAGCGUUGUCCGGAAUCAUUGGGCGUAAAGCGCGUGUAGGCGGCUGAGUAAGUCUGCUGUGAAAGUCCAGGGCUCAACCCUGGAAUGUCGGCGGAUACUGCUCAGCUGGAGUACGGGAGGGGCGAGUGGAAUUCCUGGUGUAGCGGUGGAAUGCGCAGAUAUCAGGAGGAACACCUAUGGCGAAGGCAGCUCGCUGGAACGUUAUCUGACCGAUGAAGACGCGAAAGCGUGGGGAGCAAAUCAGGAUUAGAUACCCCUGGUAGUCC
RNAcentral lists this ribosomal RNA (584 nucleotides) under uncultured bacterium. RNAcentral's name for it is "bacterial SSU rRNA". It matches the Rfam family "Bacterial small subunit ribosomal RNA", at positions 225 to 796 of the family's 1533-position model. The record is from RNAcentral.